AUGGGGGUCCUCCUUCUCCCCCUUUCCCCGUGUUCGGCGGGGAGCUUGGUUGGAGGAAUGGGUGGCCUCGAUGCGGUCGCGUCACCUGUCGCCGGCACGAUUUGCCGGUCCGGAUUCGUCCGCUCCCCUUUCUCCCCCUUUCCUCGGCCGUGGGCGGGUUGGCACAGGUUUACCAGCGGAGCGUCGGCGGGUGGUUCCGUCGGUCGAGGGCCAUCGGUUGGUCCAAAGUUGGGGCCUUUGUGUUGGUCUCGGGGUUGUCUGGUUGCAGGGCGGCGGCUCUGGCGGCGGGAGGCGCGACGUUCGUGGGCGGAGCGUGCGUCUUAG
Molecule: ribosomal RNA, 324 nt
Filed under: Triticum aestivum (bread wheat)
Lineage: Eukaryota; Viridiplantae; Streptophyta; Magnoliopsida; Poales; Poaceae
Description: partial small subunit ribosomal RNA
Source: RNAcentral